RNAcentral lists this ribosomal RNA (468 nucleotides) under uncultured bacterium. RNAcentral describes it as "partial 16S ribosomal RNA". It matches the Rfam family "Bacterial small subunit ribosomal RNA", at positions 28 to 507 of the family's 1533-position model. The record is from RNAcentral.
GACGAACGCUGGCGGCGUGCUUAACACAUGCAAGUCGAACGGAAAGGCCCUGCUUUUGUGGGGUGCUCGAGUGGCGAACGGGUGAGUAACACGUGAGUAACCUGCCCUUGACUUUGGGAUAACUUCAGGAAACUGGGGCUAAUACCGGAUAGGAGCUCCUGCUGCAUGGUGGUGGUUGGAAAGUGUCGGCGGUUGGGGAUGGACUCGCGGCUUAUCAGCUUGUUGGUGGGGUAGUGGCUUACGAAGGCUUUGACGGGUAGCCGGCCUGAGAGGGUGAGCGGCCACAUUGGGACUGAGAUACGGCCCAGACUCCUACGGGAGGCAGCAGUGGGGAAUAUUGCACAAUGGGCGGAAGCCUGAUGCAGCAACGCCGCGUGCGGGAUGACGGCCUUCGGGUUGUAAACCGCUUUCGCCUGUGACGAAGCGUGAGUGACGGUAAUGGGUAAAGAAGCACCGGCUAACUACGUG